CCAGGCCCUUCUCUCUGCUUUGCUGUACCCCCGGGGCUGCCGCCAACCCUCACACACAGCCACGCAGGGCCAGGUUGUCUUUGUGUGUUUGUGUCCCAUUCUCUUUUCUUCCCCCUAUUUCGAAAACUCCUCCAGAAUAUGGGCAAAGAAGGUAAAUGAAAUAGUGAAACUCAGCAAACUCUGGGGGUUCUUUUUAGUGACUAUUUUUUUUUAAAGGACAGUUGCCGAAAGAAAAGGAAGACUAGUAUGCUCAGAUUCUACUCUGGCAAGAAUGGGUUGAUGAUGAUGGAUAAAGGGAGUGAAUCCCAGAGUUACGGUCAGGCCUGCCCUGUACCUACUGAAACAAUCUGCGUGAAAGUGGACCCACACAGUGAACACCGUCGUUAUUCCACGGACUACUACUGCUGGCGGGAGAUGUCUAUCAUAUCCAGUGGAUGGACACUUGUUGAGCUCAACUGUACCUGUACCCAUCUGCCUGAUGGACCUGUCCAUUUCUGA
Molecule: long non-coding RNA, 498 nt
Organism: Prionailurus viverrinus (fishing cat)
Lineage: Eukaryota; Metazoa; Chordata; Mammalia; Carnivora; Felidae
Exons: 3
Source: RefSeq, a predicted model, not a curated record